GUUAGGAAUAUUGGACAAUGGGCGAAAGCCUGAUCCAGCCAUGCCGCGUGAACGAUGAAGGCCUUCGGGUUGUAAAGUUCUUUAGCCGAUGAUUAUAAUGACUGUAGUCGGAAAAUAAGCCCCGGCUAACUUCGUGCCAGCAGCCGCGGUAAUACGAAGGGGGCGAGCGUUAUUCGGAAUCACUGGGCGUAAAGCGUGCGUAGGCGGUUUUGUAAGUUAGGAGUGAAAGCCCAGGGCUCAACCUUGGAAUUGCUCUUAAAACUGCAAGGCUCGAAGCUCGGAGAGGAUAGCGGAAUUUCCAGUGUAGCAGUGAAAUGCGUAGAUAUUGGAAGGAACACCAGUGGCGUAAGCGGCUAUCUGGACGAGUAUUGACGCUGAGGCACGAAAGCGUGGGGAUCAAACAGGAUUAGAUACCCUGGUAGUCC
RNAcentral lists this ribosomal RNA (425 nucleotides) under uncultured bacterium. RNAcentral's name for it is "partial 16S ribosomal RNA". It matches the Rfam family "Bacterial small subunit ribosomal RNA", at positions 354 to 796 of the family's 1533-position model. The record is from RNAcentral.